Molecule: long non-coding RNA, 546 nt
Organism: Micropterus salmoides (largemouth bass)
Lineage: Eukaryota; Metazoa; Chordata; Actinopteri; Centrarchiformes; Centrarchidae
Exons: 2
Source: RefSeq, a predicted model, not a curated record
UUACAUCACUUUUAGUAUUUAAUUGAAGAAAGUUAGCAGCCAUCUGUUUGUUGUCUUUAGGUUUUCAGGCUUUACCGUGUCGUGUAUCAUCAGCAUAAAGAUGGAUGGAAAUGCCUCCACGCCUACGAAUACACAAUUUACAGCACAGCUCAUAAAUCCUACAUUUUGUUAACAGCUCAGUAGUUUAGAUUAUAUGAUGAUUAGAAGAGUAAAUUAUUUCUGCACCACAUUGGUUAGGUUUCCGUGUCUAGACCUGUGGAGACCUCUGGUGUCUUGUUCCUGUUUCCUGCUGCAGCCUCCUGCUUCAGGAUCAGUCAACGUUUUGUUUUUUGGACAUUUUCAGAUGAAAGGCUGCAUCCGAGUGCUGAAGGAGCAGCCGCCCAGCAGUGUGGAGGGAUUACUCAACGCUCUCAGGUAUACGACCAAACAUCUGAACGAUGAGGCUACCUCCAAGCAGAUCAAAACCUUGUUGCAGCCAAAUUAACUCCAUGCUUCUUCAGCGGAACUGAAACUGGAACGAUACUGGGAAGUAUUUUGGUCCAAAUU